Molecule: ribosomal RNA, 253 nt
Filed under: uncultured bacterium
Lineage: Bacteria
Description: partial 16S ribosomal RNA
Rfam family: Bacterial small subunit ribosomal RNA
Source: RNAcentral
UACGUAGGGGGCUAGCGUUGUCCGGAUUUAUUGGGCGUAAAGAGCGUGUAGGCGGCCAGGUAGGUCCGGUGUGAAAACUCGAGGCUUAACCUCGAGAUGUCAUCGGAAACCAUCUGGCUAGAGUCCGGAAGAGGAGAGUGGAAUUCCUGGUGUAGCGGUGAAAUGCGUAGAUAUCUGGAGGAAUACCGGUGGCGAAGGCGGCAUCCUGGACCGAUAUUGACACUGAUGAGCGAAAGCCAGGGGAGCAAACGGG